RNAcentral lists this ribosomal RNA (856 nucleotides) under uncultured bacterium. RNAcentral describes it as "bacterial SSU rRNA". It matches the Rfam family "Bacterial small subunit ribosomal RNA", at positions 9 to 873 of the family's 1533-position model. The record is from RNAcentral.
GAGUUUGAUCAUGGCUCAGAAUCAACGCUGGCGGCGUGCCUCAGACAUGCAAGUCGAACGAUUAAAGCUCCCUUCGGGGAGUGCAUAAAGUGGCGCACGGGUGAGUAACACGUAAGUAUCUACCCUCGGGUGGGGAAUAACGUUCGGAAACGAACGCUAAUACCGCAUAAUGCAGCGGCACCGCAAGGUGACAGUUGUUAAAGAUUUAUUGCCUGGGGAGGAGCUUGCGGCAGAUUAGCUUGUUGGUAAGGUAACGGCUUACCAAGGCUACGAUCUGUAUCCGGUCUAAGAGGACGGUCGGACACACUGACACUGAAUAACGGGUCAGACUCCUACGGGAGGCAGCAGUCGGGAAUUUUGGGCAAUGGGGGAAACCCUGACCCAGCAACGCCGCGUGAAGGAUGAAGUAUUUCGGUAUGUAAACUUCGAAAGAAUAGGAAGAAUUAAUGACGGUACUAUUUGUAAGGUCCGGCUAACUACGUGCCAGCAGCCGCGGUAAUACGUAGGGACCAAGCGUUGUUCGGAUUUACUGGGCGUAAAGGGCGCGUAGGCGGCGUGACAAGUCAAUUGUGAAAUCUCCGGGCUUAACUCGGAACGGUCAAUUGAUACUGUUGUGCUAGAGUACAGAAGGGGCAAUCGGAAUUCUUGGUGUAGCGGUGAAAUGCGUAGAUAUCAAGAGGAACACCUGAGGUGAAGACGGGUUGCUGGGCUGAUACUGACGCUGAGGCGCGAAAGCUAGGGUAGCAAACGGGAUUAGAUACCCCGGUAGUCCUAGCCCUAAACGAUGAAUACUUGGUGUCUGGAGUUAUUCUCUGGGUGCGUCGCUAACGUUUUAGUAUCGCUGGGAGUACGCACG